GUAAGUCCUAGAUCUAUCUUCC
Molecule: microRNA, 22 nt
Filed under: Caenorhabditis brenneri
Lineage: Eukaryota; Metazoa; Nematoda; Chromadorea; Rhabditida; Rhabditidae
Description: cbn-miR-7617
Source: miRBase by way of RNAcentral